UACGUAGGGGGCAAGCGUUGUCCGGAUUUACUGGGCGUAAAGAGCGUGUAGGCGGCCAAGCAGGUCCGUUGUGAAAACUGGAGGCUUAACCUCCAGACGUCGACGGAAACCGCGUGGCUAGAGUCCGGAAGAGGAGAGUGGAAUUCCUGGUGUAGCGGUGAAAUGCGCAGAUAUCAGGAAGAACACCAAUGGCGAAGGCAGCUCUCUGGGAUGGUACUGACGCUGAGACGCGAAAGCGUGGGGAGCGAACAGG
RNAcentral lists this ribosomal RNA (253 nucleotides) under uncultured bacterium. Its description in RNAcentral is "partial 16S ribosomal RNA". It matches the Rfam family "Bacterial small subunit ribosomal RNA", at positions 524 to 776 of the family's 1533-position model. The record is from RNAcentral.